This 388-nucleotide ribosomal RNA is filed under the name uncultured bacterium. Its description in RNAcentral is "bacterial SSU rRNA". It matches the Rfam family "Bacterial small subunit ribosomal RNA", at positions 1005 to 1393 of the family's 1533-position model. The record is from RNAcentral.
GAUGCUUUGGUGCCUUCGGGAACCGUGAGACAGGUGCUGCAUGGCUGUCGUCAGCUCGUGUUGUGAAAUGUUGGGUUAAGUCCCGCAACGAGCGCAACCCUUAUCCUUUGUUGCCAGCGGUCCGGCCGGGAACUCAAAGGAGACUGCCAGUGAUAAACUGGAGGAAGGUGGGGAUGACGUCAAGUCAUCAUGGCCCUUACGAGUAGGGCUACACACGUGCUACAAUGGCAUAUACAAAGAGAAGCGACCUCGCGAGAGCAAGCGGACCUCAUAAAGUAUGUCGUAGUCCGGAUUGGAGUCUGCAACUCGACUCCAUGAAGUCGGAAUCGCUAGUAAUCGUGGAUCAGAAUGCCACGGUGAAUACGUUCCCGGGCCUUGUACACACCGA